Long non-coding RNA from Papaver somniferum (opium poppy), 1252 nucleotides. RefSeq lists it as uncharacterized. The record is from RefSeq and is a predicted model, not a curated record. Lineage: Eukaryota; Viridiplantae; Streptophyta; Magnoliopsida; Ranunculales; Papaveraceae. The transcript has 2 exons.
UUUAGAGAGAGAAGAAGAGAUUUUCUCCAAAGAAAUCAGUAUCACAGAAAAUUCGAGGUCUUCUUCUUAUAUCUUUGUGUUUUUCUUAGUUUAUAGGGUUUCAAUUCAAACACGCAAAUUUUCGAGAUCUUUUCCUGCCAAUUUCAUCAUUUAGAGAGUAAUUUUAGGUUCAAUCUAUUUUAGGUUCAAAUUGAUUGAAUAAAUUCUGAGAUAUGGUAUUUCUUUCCAAUUUAAUUGAAAAAGAGAAAAGAAGAGAAGCUACAGUCUUAGUUUAUCCGAGAUCUGGUUUUAAAAGUUUAGUUGAAAUUAUAUCUCAACUUGAUUUAUCAAUUUAAAUUGCAUCUCGAGUUGAGUAAUCCAGUCGAACAAUCCUUCGUAUUGAUCAUCUUCAGAUUAAGCUAUUAGUAGUAUUUGGAUCAUUCAUCAGCUCAAUUGAAUUUUCAGGUUUUCAAUUUUCUUUUUCUGUAUUGAUUUUUGAUUUGUUUUGUGAAUUUGCAAUUUACUUUUGAUGACGAAACCUACAUUUCUGUUAUGAUUUUCGUGAAUUUGUUGAUGUUCUUAUGAAUGCUACGAUUUAUUAGAAUGAAGCCUUCUUAUUGUUACGAUUUCACAUUUUUUUCUAAUUUUUUUUGUUGUUGAUAUUCGCGUUUAGUGAAACCUUUUCCGGUUUCAUACUUUGUCCUGUAUAAUGCUUUUCAAUUUGUUGUUGUUGUUCAUAUUCACAUAUAGUGAAACCUUUUUUGGAUUCAUACCUUGUCUUGUAGAUUAUGAAAUCUGUUUUCACGGUUAUAUGCCACACAAUGGAUACUUUUUUUUGGUUUCAUACUUUAAGAACAAAUACCUUGGCCAUAUUGUGGCAGCAAGGUCUAACCGGGAAUGGGGGAAUGAUGCGAACUGGAAUUCUUUUUGGAGAAUUUGAAGGAAGUAUUUUCCCCGCGAAAACAUCUUACUUUUUUGAGUGAUCGAUCAUUGUACAACCUUAUUGAAUUAGCGACAAGCUCUUUUUUCAGAAUUUGAAAUUGAGUUCUACAACAAAAAUUCGAAGGGCAUGCCAUGUACGGCAGAUGUUAAGUCAUUUCGACGAAAAUUUAUCGAAUUUCAGUUUCAGUUUUUGUUUAAACUACAAUGUAUUUGAAUCUUUUUUUAUUUUUUUUAUAUUUAGUUUGACUGUUAUUUUUAUUUUAUUCUCUUAUCUACGUUUUCUGUACAGUUAAACAUGUUAAUUUUAUACAGGCGUUUCAUGUUUGUUUCA